AAGAGUAUACUUUCAGGGAUCAUUUCUAUAGUUUGUUACUAGAAUUCUUGCUGCUUUACUUUCUCCUACCUGCUCCCACAAAAGACAUCCAUUAGCUAGCAUACUUCUGAAAGGU
Molecule: small nucleolar RNA, 115 nt
Filed under: Erinaceus europaeus (western European hedgehog)
Lineage: Eukaryota; Metazoa; Chordata; Mammalia; Eulipotyphla; Erinaceidae
Description: Small nucleolar RNA U3
Rfam family: Small nucleolar RNA U3 (bases 1-41)
Source: Rfam by way of RNAcentral